UGACAAGAGAGUCGAUGUGUUGCCUGGACCCAAGGUCUACAGAGAUACAAUAUACGAGUGCAAGCCUGCUCUACAUGUCUAUCCACAACUAUACAAAUGCAAUCAACGGAAUACGAUAAACAAGCGAUGAACAAUCAACUGACAUGUAGAGACUACGAUACUGAUAUGAAAGAACAGAAGAAGGGUGAAACGAUCUCACCGACUACCAGCUCGAAGCACCCACCUGUCACUGUCGCGUCGGAACACUGGGUACGCACAAGUCGACCGGACCUACGAAGAUCCAACGGGUCAGUAACCAACCCACUCACCUGAAGUACACUAUCUCACAAACCCCCACACAGAUCCUCGAAUCGGUUUCCCAAAACCGAUCAUCGUAACUCACCGGAAGUCCUGAAAACCACACCGGGACGCCGUCGGGACCCACUAAGUGUCCCGAAACUCACCGACUCGUGUCACGAGUCACCUGCUGCCCCAAAACACUCCAAUUUGGAUGUUUUGGCAGCAAACACAAGAUAGCGCAACUACACCAUUACUGUCGGAUAAUUGUACGAAUCCGGGUUCCCGAAAGUGUCUAUUUCGACACCGGAACCCACCGUCGCUCACCCAUCAUCAUCGAACCCACAAAAUGAUGAUGGUGACUAGCCAACAAGGCUCAGCGACAAUUUAUAGGAUAACCAAUCCACGUCGAAAGAAAUCCGAACCGAAACCGCGUUCUUUCGGCGAAUUUCGCCGAAAAACGCACCGGAAUCGACUUUUCGAUUUCCGCGAAAGCUACAAGAUCAU
This 783-nucleotide long non-coding RNA is filed under the name Ananas comosus (pineapple). RNAcentral's name for it is "long non-coding RNA (ACOM_LNC039653)". The record is from RNAcentral. Lineage: Eukaryota; Viridiplantae; Streptophyta; Magnoliopsida; Poales; Bromeliaceae.